CAAUUCCUCUACAGAUUUAUCAUCUAGAAAUUGAAUCUAAAUUAAAAGUACUUAUCAAAGAAUUUUCAUUAGAAGCAAAAAUGCUAGGUUCACGCUAGUUCAUGCUAUAAAUACUUGCAUGAUAUGAUAGAAUAACCUAAGUGCUUUAUCACAUACAUGACAUAACAAUAAAGAAAUAACUAUGUUAUCAAUAUAUUAACUGAUGCGAUAUCAACCACUAAAUCAACUGCUACUUGAGAGAGUUGAUUACCACUUUCACUGCAAAAAGGAAUCAAUUGAAAUUCAUCCAAUUAAUGAAUCCUAUAUUUCAGCAUAGUCAAAAACUUCAAAGUGAUCAGGUGCACUAUUAAAAACCAGAGGCAAAUUGAAUAUCAGAAUCUCACUACUCAAUUAAUGAUCUUUCAGGAGACGUACACCACUUGAGAACAAUGAAAGAUGCAAGGACAAAUAUUCUAUUACAAUUUAUAAAACGGUUUAGCAGGAACAUUUCAAGCACACAAUAAAUAGUUGCCUAGAUUAAACUAAGGGCCUGUUUGAUAUUGCUAUUGAAAUUGCUAUCGAGAAAAUCA
Molecule: unclassified non-coding RNA, 569 nt
Filed under: Hevea brasiliensis (rubber tree)
Lineage: Eukaryota; Viridiplantae; Streptophyta; Magnoliopsida; Malpighiales; Euphorbiaceae
Source: RNAcentral